RNAcentral lists this long non-coding RNA (2734 nucleotides) under Sus scrofa (pig). Its description in RNAcentral is "lncRNA (ENSSSCG00025032115.1)". Lineage: Eukaryota; Metazoa; Chordata; Mammalia; Artiodactyla; Suidae. The record is from RNAcentral.
ACACGGAUCUACGGAGGCCCCGGCACACUCAGUUACACCGUGGCGGUCACCCUCAGAGCCACAUACAUACAGGAUUAAGGAGGCAAAUGAGCACAGACAGGCAAAUACCCUCAAGGACAACCAGAGACAGAGACACCUCCGGCACACCGAGGGACACGCCCAGGCACAGGCCGAGCCUCCUCAGCAUUUCUCCAGUUCUGGCUUGACCUACGGUGGGGGGAGGCAUCAGUUACCGUCACUCCAGUUCUGCCCUGGUCCAACUGGUAAGGCGGGGGUGUGGAGUGUGCUGAGGACAGAAGGGAGGGGAGAAGUGGCACAGGAAGGGUUACACCUCCCCAUACCUUGAUCCCAGUCCCAGAGCCCCCCUUUCACUGCAGCCUCCUCGACCCCCUACCCUCUCAGCCCGCUGUUUUAAUUGGCAUGGAGGGGCGUGGCGGUAUCCUGGGCGGGGGGGGGGAGGGGGGAACCAGCAGAGGGUUUGCAGGUAGAGGCUGUGGGAGGGGAGCCCUAAUGGGGGUGUGUGGGGGGGAGCCAGGCGGUUGCCUAGCAACUCCACAGCUGUCUGUUGACCUAGAAGAAGCUGCGCUGUCUUGACACAGCUGGUGUUUACAUGUAACCGAGGCUCUGGCUUACCGCUUGCUUGGAGGAAAGCUGAGGCAGUGCCCUGGUGGCAGCCUGGCCCUGGCCCCCCAGCUGUGGUGGGCUCCGUGCCUGCCUGACCUCUUUGCUUCAGUUUCCUCCUCAAGUCCAGUGGGAGAGAGAUUAGGAAGGUGGAUCUCAGAGCUGGAGGCUUUGGGGCUGGGGAAAGUUGAUGUAUCUAGGCACACACACAAAACCCCAGGCCUUCAACACAGAAGCGGUAGGAGACUACAAGAGGGCUGGGGGACAGGGGUGCCCAGUUUGUGCGCAGAUUUCAACCCACACAGACAACUCCAACAUUCUCAGGGACAUGUGGACACACAGACCCAGGAAAUAAAACCAACACAGGCACAGAGAUGGCCAUUGACUUAAAGACAUCCAGGCAGACACACAAACACACAGAAAUGCAGUAAUCAAGUGACUGAAACCCCAACACACAGAUAUACCCACUGACCUCUGGACACAGAGGACAGGCACUGACCCUCUGACAGAGACACAGACUGCAACACGCUGACACACUGAAACCCCCAUAUGGUAACGCCAGAAGCUCUCACACUAACGGUUCAUUCCAGCUAGAAUGUGCAGGUCUGCGUUAUGAAAGGGAGAAAUCAGUCCCCCAUAUGGAGGCACCCACACGCACACAGAAAAACAUACAACUCCCCAAACUUUUGUUGAUUGCCCACAAUGCUUUAAAGGCAGGCAGUCACUGGCACCACUGACAUAAGCAAAGACACACCCAAGAGCCCAACAUGUGAAGAGACACUGGUCCCUGAAGGACCAUGGGCCCUGACAUGUCCCACCCGCACCCACACAAACACAUGCCGGCCUAGGGUGUGGGCAGAGCUGAGACUCCUCCCUGCCCACAAUUCCUGAGUAGCAGCAGAUGUGCCUUGGGGUCAGAGGGCCCUUGUGGCCCCAGGACCAUCUCUAGAUGAACCCAUACAGCUUGGGCUGCAGCAGCUCUUUCCCUGAGAGCCCCCAACAGAAGGGAAAGAUACAGCCCAUCCCCAGGAGUCCCCUGUCUGAAUUGUUCGCUCUCUCUCUCUCUUUUUUUUUUUUUUUGUCUCUUUAGGGCCACACCCUUGGCAUACGGAAAUUCCCAGGCUAGGGGUUAAAUUGGAGCUACAGCUGCCGGCCUACACCACAACUGAAGAAACUCAGGAUCCAAGCCUCAUCGCGUCUGCAACCUACACCACAGCUCAGAGCAACACCGGAUCCUUAACCCCCUGAGAGAGGCCAGGGAUUGAACCUACAUCCUCAUGGAUGCUAAUAGGGUUCGUUACUGCUGAGCCACGAUGGGAACUCCCCCUGUCUGAAUCUCUGUCUUCCCAAGUCCCUGCCUGAACUGACAGAACAGGCACUGUCCUGCCCAGAUGGACCCCGGGCCGAUGGAGGCCCUAUCUCCCUUCCAGGCAGUUCUGGACACCAUCGACAGACACACAUACACACACACCAGCAUGUGGCAGCUCCUGGGGGUGUCUGGAGGGCUUCCUGGCAGAGGUGAGCCUGGGGCCUGGUUUUGGAGGCCAAGAGGAAGGAGGAGGGAGUGUGCGAAAAGGACCUUCUUAUCUUGCCCCACACCCCGCCCCUCACCCAGCAGUUCCUCCUCCCCCCAGGGCCCAAGGGGCCUGCUGGGGCCCCACAGCCCCAUCAGCCCAAGCAGUGAGCAGGAGGAGGAGAGCGGAUAUUUUUAGCUUCUCUGCCACUGACAUUUCGCAGCAGGCGACCUGGGGUGAAGCUGAGUGAGUGCUGAAGGCUGGGAGAAGCCGACAGCGCCUUCCCCGCCCCCGUGCACAUGCACACGGCCACGUCCCCCAACACUCCCAAGGCACACCUAAGAGGCACAGCUUCAGUUACACGGUUAUGUGCCGAUCUAGACACACACACACACACACACACACACGCACGCACCUGUGUACACACUUGGUUCAUGUGCCACAUAUGCCUAAAACCUCACAUACCUGCAUACACAUAAAAUGUACCCAUUCACACACCCAGAGACAUGCACACAUAAUUCAGACAUAUAGCACACUUCUCACACCUAGUCAAGCGUGCACAUGCUCGCUCAUUAUUCAUUCAAGAAAUAAGAUUCAGU